ACUACAUUCUCAUGACUCACUGUUAUGUAACGAGCAGCAAGUUGAUUGCAACUGCUCUGGAUACCUGGCAGAAGAACUUAAGGACACACAAAAAGGUACCUACAAAAUCCUGAAGCAGAGGUGGGUCAGUUGUGUACACUUCAGUUCCAGACAUUUGUUAGAGAUGGAUAUGGACAAAAUGGCACCUGCACUAUUCUGGUACCUGUGAACCCUGUGGCAUGCUGGCUUAGCACUUAGGCCACCAGACAAGAACGGCACCACUCUGCUUGAGGAAUGAGCUCUUCACACUAACUGUUCACAGCACCAUUCUGAAAUGUCUUUGUCUGAGGCAAAGCUGCCCUGAGGAUGUUAAUACUGCAAUUCACAGACCUUUUGUUAGGCAAUAAGACCCAAAAUGACCUUUUCUACCUAGAUCUGCUGCUGCCAAAGAGAAUGAUCCAGAGAUCUUUGGAGCAGUGUAUGCACUUAGACUAUAGUAGCAAGAAAUCCAGGAUGCUGUAUAGAAGACAAUGUCUACAGAAGAUUUUGAGCUCCUGAGAGAAUGGCCCUAAGUACGUUCAGCAGGCACUAAUAAAGCCUGGCCUUUAUAUGCAUGGAGUUGGCUUGCCUGGAUUCAAGUCCCAGCCCCACCACAGCUUGAUACUCAACCUUGGGUGAAUGUUCCACUGAAGUGCACCAGGUGGUCUUCUGCUAUUAUACAUAAUACCACAAUGAACAUCUUUUAACAUGUAGAAAUGAUUAUGUACUUAUAUGAUUAUAUCUGUAGAGAGAAUGUCUAAAAGUGAAACUCUUCACUAUAAGGUUAGGCAAAUUUUAAAUGUUCAUGUAUAUUGCUAAACAGCCCUCCCGAGAGGCUAUACCAAAUUUGUACUCCAGGCAGUAUGUGUAGAUAUUUCUCCACACUUCUUUCUAUACUAUUCACUGGCAAUUUUAAUUUUUUAAUCUUUAUCAGUCUCAAAAGUGAAAGGAGAAAUUUGACUUCAAUUUGCACUUUAAUUUUUUGUAGACACCCAUCUUUUCACAUGUUAGUAGCCAUUCAUUAGCUUAUGCAUACUUCAUUCCCCAUUUUCUAUUGGAUACCUGGUGGGUUUUUUUAAAUUGAUUUAUAAAGUACCUGGUAGAUUAACAUCUUUGUAAAAGCAGAUCAUUUUGGAAAAUAAUUCUGAUUAAUUUCAGCCAUGAUGAAUAUUUAUAAUUUUGAGAAUUUUAUGGCAAUUGGCAUUACUAAAUGAAAAAUGAUAAACCCUCCCCAGGGAUGAAUAGUGAAAGGAUAUCAUCUAAGUUAUUACAACAAUAAUCAUUGAAAUAAUCCAGAUUACAUGUAAGGCACAAUGCAAAGAGGUCCAAGGUGUGAUCUCUGCCAUGAAGACAUUCACAGUAAAGAAGAGAUGAUGCAUUCACAUGAAUUGAUAAUAAUCUGAGACAAUAAAAGAAAUGAGUGAUAUGACCAUCAAUACUCUAGGAAUUGAGGAAAGAAAGCUAAUUUUCACUGGUGUGGCUAAAGAAUAUUACUUGAAAGAGGACACAUGCUUGAAUAGACAGAGAGAAAGAUUUCAAGAGUAUAAAAGUGAGAAGCAAAGAGAGGAAAGAGUAAAUAGACAAAGGUGAAUGGGUUAGAGGCUUGGAUGAGGGGACAGGGGAAAGUCUAUAUGGGGAAAGGUGAAUUGGAGUCAAACCACUGAAGGGCUUGGGUAUCUGGUUUAGCUUGGAUUCUGUGCUAUAGGAGCAAAUGAAUGUUUUUGACAAGAGCAUUGAAAUAACAAAAAUAAUUUUUAGGAUGAUAACUUUGGCCAGUGAAAAAUAAAUGAAGAAAUGAAUGAAUGGAAAAUAUUGAGUUGGGACAGGGGAUGACUAUUGCAUUUAUACUUUCUGUAAGAGAACCAACAAUUUAGAGGAAAAGUGGUUUAUAUUUUCUUUAAUUUAUAAUACAUAAAACUGCUAUGGAACUAAUGCUACAUAAUGUUACCUGAGAAAAGAAGACUGAUCCAUACCCAGAAUUCUUUGUGUAUAUGUUGAAGAUUCCAGGGCAGUGCCUUUUUCUAAACCUGUGAUUCAGCUUUCAUACCCCUCCACUUACUCAUUCUAAUGACAGUAAGCAUUUCUUUGUUGGGUCUGGAAUUCAUAGCAGUUUUUUCACAGACCUAGAAGUCCCAAACAUGCUAUUGUCAUUACACCUCAUCUGUCAUCCUAAGGAAUGGCUUUAUUUAUUAUUGUGAUUUGGAGAAAUAAGGUGAUUGCAGACGGGGCUUAGAAUAAUGAUAGGAAGGUGUUGGCUUCAUAGAACCAGAAAUUCCUUUCUUACUUCAUUUCCCGUCCAUGUUGGUAAGGGAUAGGUAAUUGAUCUGAAAGCCCCCUGUACUGUAAAUGCAGCAUUCAUUCAACAAGUAUUUAUUAAGCAACUACAAUGUGUCAGGCACUGUGCAAAGCACUGGGGAACAUAUAUCACUGACUGGAGGAGAGUUUAAAAAAUAGAGCCAGUCUUUGCUGUUACAGUCUGAUGGGACAAAUAUAAACAAAGCCACAUUCUAUUACUGCUCCUCCUCACAGGUGACAAGGGGCAGAGAUCGUCUCUCAAAAUUUUCCCACAUGUAAUAACCCUAUUCUGUUGUUAGGGUUCUGAAAAACCCAUCUCUAGUUAAUUCCAUGUAUUCCAAUGUGUACUGAGGUAUAAUUCACUUCUGACUGGCCUAAGAGAAUAAAGGAUUCAAAUAAUAAUAUCUGGCAAACACUGCAAAAUACCAGACAUGCUAGUGGCCAUGGGGAUCACCAAAGAGUAAAACAUGGAACCAAACUAUAGAAUUGCAGAGAUACAGUAAGUGCAUUUGAAAAAGUAAACUUUUUAAUGUGGGAGAUAAGUGCUAACUAGAUAACACAAACAGUAUGUGUUCUGGGAACUUAGAAAAGCAAGCAUCACUUUCAGAAGGCACUGUGCCUCAAAGGAUGGGUUGGGUUUGAAUAGGUAGAGGACUAAGGUGGUGUCUGUGGGAGUUAGUGACAGCCCUUCAAGUAUCAAGGAGGAAAGCCCAAUACAAAUUGACUUCUGCAGAAGGAGUGGUCCUGGGCACCCCAGCAUGGCUGCAGUCAUGGGGUCUUACAAUUUAAAUUGGUUUAUCUUUAUCUCUCCAUCUCAAGGUUCUGCUUUCCUCUGCACUAGCUUUAGUCCUGGACUGACUGUCUCUCUGUGGUAGCUGCCAGGCUUACAUCUUGUUCCCUUAACCAUCCAAAACAUAGACAGUUUCUCUUUCCCAAGAGUUCUAAAUGAACUCCUGUGAUUUACCCUGAUUAAACCAACUUAUAUCAUCUUCCCACUGCUGAGUCGAUCUCUAUAACUAGGCGGGUAGAAUUCACAGAUUGGCUAGGCCUGGGUUAAGCCUCCACCCCUGGAACACAAGCAGGUGGGGUCAGCCCCAUCUAAACCCUACUAGAAGAAGAGCAAGAAAGUGGUAGCACCCCAGAGAAAAAAGUUAUGCUGUAAUUAGAAAAAUAACAACAAUCAUCAUCAUUAUUGCAAACACUCUAUAAUAAAAAACUUAGUAUGAACUGGGUACUGUUCUAACCAACUUUUGUAGGUUACUUAUUUUAUCCUAACAUCCCUGUGAGGUGGGUAAUCUUAUCCCAUUUUCAGAUGGGGAAACUGAAGCAUGGAGCUGUUAAGUAAUUAUCACAUAGCUAGUAAAGGGCAGAUCAGGGGGGGUGAACACAAGCCAUCAGACUGCAAGUCCAUGGCCUUACCCACUACAGCAUAUUAAAAUUAAUUUCUAUACACAGAGAAAACAAGUUAUGACUUAAGCUCAAAAAUGAACAAAGUAUAUGAAGAACAAUGAGAAGAUGGGCAGAUCAGAAAGACGGUAAUUUUGGUCUACUAUCACAGCUAUAGAAACAAUAUCCAGGAAGCUGACAGGUUGUGCCAUCUUCAUUAAGAGGUCAAGUUCUGACUAGAUCCAGGCGAUCAUCAACUGAACUUCCAAGGGGAAUGGAAUGGUCACCACAGAAAACUCAACUAUUCCCCAAAGGCUAUUCCAGCUCAAUCUUCUCAACAGCUUGUGGUUCACACUUUUAUACAAUUUACCAAGGACUGAUUUCACAUCUACGUCUGACUCUCUCUCUCUCUCCUGCUCUGAAACAGCAUUCAUGCAACAUAUAUAGAUCUUAGUUAAAACUAACAAUGCGUCUAAAAACACACACGAAAUCAAACAAUUGCCAUUUGGCACUGAGAAACAGCAGAUCCAGGCUUGAGUCUGUUUAUUGUGCAUUUCCUGAUGCAAAGAAAAGCAAGCACAGUCAAGAAAACACCACAAAGCAUUAUAUGGCGACAGCUUGUGUGCUUCAGAAGAGAAAUGGAUACAUUAGGAAAAGUUUUUCUCCCUUUGAUGUAGAAUAUGCUAUCUUUUUUUGCAUUAAAAUGGGAGUUAACUUUAAAUAAAUAAAAUUCAGCCUGUAGGCUUCAGAAAACUAAUGCUCUCUUUUGACAGUGUCAUUUCUCUGAUCCCUGAAAGCAUUAUGGGAGUUAACCUGGGCCUUCAUCAUGCUUUUCCUUUAUGGUAUGGAGAGCACAUUAUUUUUUCAUCUCUCUUUUACUGGUUUCCUCUUACUUCCUCUCACAUUUUCUCUUUGCCAGCUGUUACUCUGCCCUUUCUGCUUCUCCAAGCGCUAUGAGGGCAGGUAGAGAAGGAGUUUCUCCUGUGUCUUUGUUGCAGGUGGUCCAGGAAUGGCUGCCUUAGUGCUCCAUCCUCAGAAGAAAACCUCUUCACUGCUUGCUUUAAAAUGCAUAUAUAUUUAUGCCAAAGGCCCUAGACCUGCCCUCAAGAAAAGAUGAGAAUGAGCCUCACAUUCCUACGAUGAAGCGGUGGAAAAAUCUGCAAUUUGUACUUAGCACAUCUUUAACUGGACUUAACAAUGUGCCCCCUCCAUUCAGGAUACAGCAUGCAUGAGCCUGGUAGAUGAUGAAACUGCUGUUUUCUUUUGUGGUUUGUAUUUUCCCAAAGAGCCUUGAAUAGUCAAAUAUCAGGUGAUUUGAACCCGCUAGAAUAUGGCAAUGAAAUGAAGUCUUUUUUCUUUGAAACAAAAUUAUUUUAGGUAAGUGAGUAUGUAGAAAUCUCAAAUAAGGUGUGGUAUUCAACAAAAGAAAAAACACUGAUAACAAGUGUUUUUACCCUUGUAAUUGUCCAUUUUGGUCAUUCUUAGUGUUCUAGCAAUUGCUUUUAAAAAUGAGUGUAUUUGAAACAUGCAAUACUACAACUGGAGAAAGAAAAUCCUUUAAUAUAAAAAGUUGCCACGAUUAAAGAGUUUUG
Molecule: long non-coding RNA, 5291 nt
Filed under: Sus scrofa (pig)
Lineage: Eukaryota; Metazoa; Chordata; Mammalia; Artiodactyla; Suidae
Description: lncRNA (ENSSSCG00035014404.1)
Source: RNAcentral